RNAcentral lists this ribosomal RNA (309 nucleotides) under Triticum aestivum (bread wheat). RNAcentral's name for it is "partial small subunit ribosomal RNA". The record is from RNAcentral. Lineage: Eukaryota; Viridiplantae; Streptophyta; Magnoliopsida; Poales; Poaceae.
AUGUGCGCAUGCAUGAUAGAUCUGAAGAAGGCAAUGACCAAGAUCACGGAGCUAGAAGAAGAACUCAAGUCUACAUGCGAUGGAUAUGAGGAGGAAAUGAUGACACUCAUAGAGAAGAAUGAUGAUCUAAAGAAGCUAAAAGUAUUCAUGGGAUUCCCCGCGCCAAGAGGAGAUGGCGACGAUUGCACUUGCCCGGAGAACUACAUUAUCAUCGAUGACACCGACUCAGACCCCGACGAUAGCGAUGAUGACUAUGUUGAUGAAGCUGGAGCAGAUAUCAUGGAGUCUUCGACCGAUCAAUUUUUCUAG